This 397-nucleotide ribosomal RNA is filed under the name uncultured bacterium. RNAcentral describes it as "partial 16S ribosomal RNA". It matches the Rfam family "Bacterial small subunit ribosomal RNA", at positions 523 to 918 of the family's 1533-position model. The record is from RNAcentral.
AUACGUAGGGGGCGAGCGUUGUCCGGAAUGACUGGGCGUAAAGGGCGUGUAGGCGGCCGAUUAAGUCUGGAGUGAAAGUCCUGCUUUCAAGGUGGGAAUUGCUUUGGAUACUGCCGCGCUUGAGUGCAGGAGAGGUUAUCGGAAUUCCCGGUGUAGCGGUGAAAUGCGUAGAGAUCGGGAGGAACACCAGUGGCGAAGGCGGGUAACUGGACUGCAACUGACGCUGAGGCGCGAAAGUGUGGGGAGCAAACAGGAUUAGAUACCCUGGUAGUCCACACUGUAAACGAUGAAUGCUAGGUGUAAGAGGUAUCGACCCCUUUUGUGCCGGAGUCAACACAAUAAGCAUUCCGCCUGGGGAGUACGGCCGCAAGGUUGAAACUCAAAUGAAUUGACGGGG